UACGAAGGGGGCUAGCGUUGUUCGGAAUUACUGGGCGUAAAGCGCGCGCAGGCGGUCUUCCAAGUCAGUGGUGAAAGCCCGGAGCUCAACUCCGGAACUGCCAUUGAAACUGUGAGACUCGAGUACGAGAGAGGUGAGUGGAAUUCCCAGUGUAGAGGUGAAAUUCGUAGAUAUUGGGAAGAACACCGGUGGCGAAGGCGGCUCACUGGGACGGUACUGACGCUGAGACGCGAAAGCGUGGGGAGCGAACAGG
This 253-nucleotide ribosomal RNA is filed under the name uncultured bacterium. RNAcentral describes it as "partial 16S ribosomal RNA". It matches the Rfam family "Bacterial small subunit ribosomal RNA", at positions 524 to 776 of the family's 1533-position model. The record is from RNAcentral.